This is a non-coding RNA of Otolemur garnettii (small-eared galago), 298 nucleotides long. Lineage: Eukaryota; Metazoa; Chordata; Mammalia; Primates; Galagidae. The record is from Rfam.
GCUGGGCACAGUGGCGCGUGUCUGUAGUCCCAGCUACUCAUGAGGCUGAGACAGGAAGAUCGCUUGAGUCCAGGAGUUCUAGGCUUUAGUGCGCUAUGCUGAUCAGGUGUCCUCACUAAGUUCGGCAUCAAUAUGGUAACCUCCCAGGUGUGGGGCACCACCAGGUUCCCUAAGGAGGGGUGAACUGGCUCAGGUUGAAAAUGGAGCAGGUCAGAGCUCCCAUGCUGAUCAGUAGUGGGAUUGCACCUGUGGCUAGCCACUGCACUCCAGCCUGGGCAACAUAGUAAGACCCCAUCAA